GUGCACAUUUGAUUGACCUGCCUUCUUGUAUAUGUGAGCAGUGUUAUUUCUUAUGUGCUAUACAAUCGGUUGAAGGUUAAUUAGCAGUAUAACUAAAUAGUCAUGCUGCCAGUCUCCUUCAGACAAAC
Small nucleolar RNA from Molossus molossus (Pallas's mastiff bat), 128 nucleotides. The record is from RefSeq and is a predicted model, not a curated record. NCBI's taxonomy places the organism in Eukaryota, Metazoa, Chordata, Mammalia, Chiroptera, Molossidae.